RNAcentral lists this ribosomal RNA (342 nucleotides) under Triticum aestivum (bread wheat). Its description in RNAcentral is "partial small subunit ribosomal RNA". The record is from RNAcentral. Lineage: Eukaryota; Viridiplantae; Streptophyta; Magnoliopsida; Poales; Poaceae.
AUGCAUCAGGAAAUAUCUAAACCAACCCACAAUCGCAUACACCGACAACAGAAAAAACAAGGUGCUCAUCUAAACUGCUCGCGCGAGCAGAUCGGUUCAAAUCGCGCCCACAAACCUAAGCGAAUCCCCAAUUAUCAGACAAUCGGCCUACCAGGUGCGGAAACCAACCGAUUGGGGCCAAAAAAUCGGCACACCACCAAACCAACCCAACAGCCCUACCGAGAUCUGGUCGGCUCGGAGCGAGAUGAGGAGCGGGCGAUCGAUCCGACGGCGCAGCCAAGACCGAUCGGGGGACGGAGUCAACCGCUAGAAAUCGAACCGCGGGGGAGCACGGAAACGUAG